RNAcentral lists this ribosomal RNA (454 nucleotides) under uncultured Rhodocyclaceae bacterium. RNAcentral's name for it is "bacterial SSU rRNA". It matches the Rfam family "Bacterial small subunit ribosomal RNA", at positions 927 to 1382 of the family's 1533-position model. Lineage: Bacteria; Pseudomonadati; Pseudomonadota; Betaproteobacteria; Rhodocyclales; Rhodocyclaceae. The record is from RNAcentral.
AAGCGGUGGAUGAUGUGGGUUAAUCGAUGCAACGCGAAAACCUUACCUACCCUUGACAUGUCCGGAAUCCCGAAGAGAUUUGGGAGUGCUCGCAAGAGAACCGGAACACAGGUGCUGCAUGGCUGUCGUCAGCUCGUGUCGUGAGAUGUUGGGUUAAGUCCCGCAACGAGCGCAACCCUUGUCAUUAGUUGCCAUCAUUUGGUUGGGCACUCUAAUGAGACUGCCGGUGACAAACCGGAGGAAGGUGGGGAUGACGUCAAGUCCUCAUGGCCCUUAUGGGUAGGGCUUCACACGUCAUACAAUGGUCGGUACAGAGGGUUGCCAACCCGCGAGGGGGAGCUAAUCCCACAAAGCCGAUCGUAGUCCGGAUCGCAGUCUGCAACUCGACUGCGUGAAGUCGGAAUCGCUAGUAAUCGUGGAUCAGCAUGUCACGGUGAAUACGUUCCCGGGUCUU